This 460-nucleotide ribosomal RNA is filed under the name uncultured bacterium. RNAcentral's name for it is "partial 16S ribosomal RNA". It matches the Rfam family "Bacterial small subunit ribosomal RNA", at positions 338 to 795 of the family's 1533-position model. The record is from RNAcentral.
CCUACGGGGAGCAGCAGUGAGGAAUAUUGGUCAAUGGGCGCUAGCCUGAACCAGCCAAGUAGCGUGAAGGAUGACUGCCCUAUGGGUUGUAAACUUCUUUUAUAUGGGAAUAACGUGCAGUAUGUAUACUGCUUUGCAUGUACCUUAUGAAUAAGGAUCGGCUAACUCCGUGCCAGCAGCCGCGGUAAUACGGAGGAUCCGAGCGUUCUCCGGAUUUAUUGGGUUUAAAGGGAGGGUAGGCGGGUUGUUAAGUCAGUUGUGAAAGUUUGCGGCUCAACCGUAAAAUUGCAGUUGAUACUGGCAGCCUUGAGUACAGUAGAGGUAGGCGGAAUUCGUGGUGUAGCGGUGAAAUGCUUAGAUAUCACGAAGAACUCCGAUUGCGAAGGCAGCCUGCUGGACUGUAACUGACGCUGAUGCUCGAAAGUGUGGGUAUCAAACAGGAUUAGAUACCCCUGUAGUC